CCUACGGGAUGCAGCAGUGGGGAAUAUUGCGCAAUGGGCGAAAGCCUGACGCAGCGACGCCGCGUGGGGGAAUGAAGGUCUUCGGAUUGUAAACCCCUGUCAUGUGGGAGCAAAUUAAAAAGAUAGUACCACAAGAGGAAGAGACGGCUAACUCCGUGCCAGCAGCCGCGGUAAUACGGAGGGUGCGAGCGUUAAGCGGAAUUACUGGGCGUAAAGCGCUCGUAGGCGGUAUGUCAAGUCAAGGGUGAAAUCCCCGCGCCCAACGUGGGAACUGCCUUUGAAACUGGCAAACUGGAGUGUGUGAGAGGAUAGUGGAAUUCCAGGUGUAGGAGUGAAAUCCGUAGAUAUCUGGAGGAACAUCAGUGGCGAAGGCGACUAUCUGGCACAUAACUGACGCUGAGGAGCGAAAGCGUGGGUAGCAAACAGGAUUAGAUACCCGAGUAGUC
RNAcentral lists this ribosomal RNA (446 nucleotides) under uncultured bacterium. Its description in RNAcentral is "partial 16S ribosomal RNA". It matches the Rfam family "Bacterial small subunit ribosomal RNA", at positions 338 to 795 of the family's 1533-position model. The record is from RNAcentral.